RNAcentral lists this ribosomal RNA (229 nucleotides) under uncultured bacterium. RNAcentral describes it as "partial 16S ribosomal RNA". It matches the Rfam family "Bacterial small subunit ribosomal RNA", at positions 568 to 796 of the family's 1533-position model. The record is from RNAcentral.
UUCGUAGGCGGCCCGAUAAGUCAGAGGUGAAAUCUAACGGCUUAACCGUUAGCCUGCCUUUGAAACUGUCAGGCUUGAGUAUUGGAGAGGAAAGUGGAAUUCUUGGUGUAGCGGUGAAAUGCGUGGAUAUCAAGAGGAACACCCGUGGCGAAAGCGGCUUUCUGGCCAAAUACUGACGCUGAGGAACGAAAGCUAGGGGAGCGAACAGGAUUAGAUACCCUGGUAGUCC